RNAcentral lists this ribosomal RNA (491 nucleotides) under uncultured bacterium. RNAcentral's name for it is "partial 16S ribosomal RNA". It matches the Rfam family "Bacterial small subunit ribosomal RNA", at positions 29 to 506 of the family's 1533-position model. The record is from RNAcentral.
AGUGAACGCUGGCGGUAGGCCUAACACAUGCAAGUCGAACGGCAGCACAAUAAGCGCUUGCUCUUACGGUUGGCGAGUGACGGACGGGUGAGACAUACAUCGGAAUCUACUUUUUCGUGGGUGAUAACGUAGGGAAACUUACGCUAAUACCGCAUACGACCUACGGCUUAAAUCAGUAGUGCUUCAGACCUUGCGCGAUUGAAUGAGCCGAUGUCGGAUUAGCUAGUUGGCGGGGUAAAGGCCCACCAAGGCGACGAUCCGUAGCUGAUCUGAGAGGAUGAUCGGCCACACUGGAACUGAGACACGGUCCAGACUCCUACGGGAGGCAGCAGUGGGGAAUAUUGGGCAAUGGGCGAAAGCCUGACCCAGCCAUGCCGCGUGGGUGAAGAAGGCCUUCGGGUUGUAAAGCCCUUUUGUUGGGAAAGAAAAGCAGCAGGUUAAUACCCCGCUGUUCUGACGGUACCUAAAGAAUAAGCAACGGCUAACUUCGU